CACAGACACAGAAUUGAGAGCAGAGUGUCUGUCUGUCAUCCAGUCCCACACCAGACAGCCCUGAGCAUGAGUGUACAAUCCAUAAGCUGGUUUUUGAAUUGGUGAGAAUUGACAAAUGCUGGAUAUGCCAUUCACCUUUGACAUCUGUCAGAUGGCACGGUGUAAGAUGCAAACUGAUGGUCACUACAGAGGGCAGUUUGGUCAAUUUGCAAAUGCUUGUGGAGCCGAAGAUCCUCAAAACCUCAGAUCAACUAACCUUCGCAAAAAGAUUGCCACAAUAAGCCAAGUCAUGAACUUGAAAGAUAAUGAACUGGACCAGCUGGCCGAUUUUCUCGGCCAUGA
Molecule: long non-coding RNA, 342 nt
Organism: Cyprinus carpio carpio
Lineage: Eukaryota; Metazoa; Chordata; Actinopteri; Cypriniformes; Cyprinidae
Source: Ensembl